UUAUAGGGAAAUUGUAAUUAUAUUGUAAACAUUAAUGAAAAUUUGCUAAUGAAUUAUUUAUUGAUUUUUAUAAAGCUUACUAUAAUCUAUAUGUGUGAAAGUUGAAUCCAUAUGUAUUAUAUUCUGAAAGUAAUACUUGAAUAGUCGAUUAAUGACUAGUUAAAAUUUGUUGAACUUAAGCUCAAGAGCAUAGGGGGGCAAUUUCAGAUAAGGGAAAAGAGAAAGUAACCGAGUAGC
Molecule: long non-coding RNA, 237 nt
Filed under: Gossypium barbadense (sea-island cotton)
Lineage: Eukaryota; Viridiplantae; Streptophyta; Magnoliopsida; Malvales; Malvaceae
Description: long non-coding RNA (GBAR_LNC012501)
Source: RNAcentral